This 254-nucleotide ribosomal RNA is filed under the name uncultured bacterium. RNAcentral describes it as "partial 16S ribosomal RNA". It matches the Rfam family "Bacterial small subunit ribosomal RNA", at positions 524 to 776 of the family's 1533-position model. The record is from RNAcentral.
UACGUAGGAGGCGAGCGUUGUCCGGAAUUACUGGGCGUAAAGAGCGCGUAGGCGGCGCGGUACGACCGCUGUGAAAGCCCCCAGCUCAACUGGGGAGGGUCAGCGGUAACGGCCGUGCUAUGAGUGCAGGAGAGGGAAGUGGAACUCCGGGAGUAGCGGUGAAAUGCGUAGAGACCCGGAGGAACACCAGUGGCGAAGGCGGCUUCCUGGUCUGCGACUGACGCUGUGGCGCGAAAGCUAGGGGAGCGAACCGG